RNAcentral lists this ribosomal RNA (420 nucleotides) under uncultured archaeon. Its description in RNAcentral is "partial 16S ribosomal RNA". It matches the Rfam family "Archaeal small subunit ribosomal RNA", at positions 323 to 746 of the family's 1478-position model. The record is from RNAcentral.
CUACGGGCCGCAGCAGGUAGGAAUCUUUUGCAAUGCGCGCAAGCGUGACAAAGCGAACCAGAGUGUUUUUCAAUGAAAAGCUUUUGCCAAAUCUAAAAAUUUUGGCGAAUAAGGACUGGGUAAGACUAGUGCCAGCCGCCGCGGUAAUACUAGCGGUCCAAGUCGCAGCCACAAUUAUUGGGUCUAAAACAUCCGUAGCUUGUUCAAUAAGUUCUUUGUGAAAUCUUAUCUCUUAAGGGUAAGGCGUGCAAGGAAUACUGUUGGGCUAGAGACUGGAAGACGUAAAAAGUAUGUUCAAAGUAACGGUAAAAUGUGUUAAUCUUGAGCAGACUAACAAUAGCGAAGGCAUUUUACGAGGACAGUUCUGACAGUAAAGGAUGAAGGCUAGGGGCGCAAAACGGAUUAGAUACCCCCGUAGUC